UACGUAGGUGGCAAGCGUUGUCCGGAUUUAUUGGGCUUAAAGGGUGCGUAGGCGGCUUUGUAAGUCAGUGGUGAAAUAUGGCAGCUCAACUGUCAGGGUGCCAUUGAUACUGCGGAGCUUGAGUACAGAUGAGGUAGGCGGAAUUGACGGUGUAGCGGUGAAAUGCUUAGAUAUCGUCAAGAACACCGAUAGCGAAGGCAGCUUACUAGGCUGUAACUGACGCUGAGGCACGAAAGUGUGGGGAUCAAACAGG
RNAcentral lists this ribosomal RNA (253 nucleotides) under uncultured bacterium. RNAcentral describes it as "partial 16S ribosomal RNA". It matches the Rfam family "Bacterial small subunit ribosomal RNA", at positions 524 to 776 of the family's 1533-position model. The record is from RNAcentral.